This is a long non-coding RNA of Lacerta agilis (Sand lizard), 292 nucleotides long. RefSeq lists it as uncharacterized. The record is from RefSeq and is a predicted model, not a curated record. NCBI's taxonomy places the organism in Eukaryota, Metazoa, Chordata, Lepidosauria, Squamata, Lacertidae. The transcript is spliced from 2 exons.
AAAUACAGCUGAAAAAAAUGUUCAUCACACUAUAUAUACAGCUAUGGAGUUUGUUCAAUUUAACUGCUUUCUGUUUUCAGUUAUUUGUUCCAUUGCAGCCUUUGCCCAUGAUAUUGAGGGUUACUGCCAAAUAUAUUCGGAAGACAGUUGGUUAUCAUCUCAGCAAAGUCAGCUUGCAAACGCUGCUGAUUCUCCCUGGAAAUAGCAGGAGAAAAUUGGUUUAAGUGACUCGAGAUAUAUUUACUAUGAUUCUUAAUUAUAAGGCCUUCAAAGAUUCUUCUAUUCAACCUUC